AUGUGGAAUAUACAGGAUG
RNAcentral lists this non-coding RNA (19 nucleotides) under Rattus norvegicus (Norway rat). The record is from RNAcentral. Lineage: Eukaryota; Metazoa; Chordata; Mammalia; Rodentia; Muridae.